This 496-nucleotide ribosomal RNA is filed under the name uncultured bacterium. RNAcentral's name for it is "partial 16S ribosomal RNA". It matches the Rfam family "Bacterial small subunit ribosomal RNA", at positions 28 to 507 of the family's 1533-position model. The record is from RNAcentral.
GAUGAACGCUGGCGGCGUGCCUAAUACAUGCAAGUCGAGCGAACAGACGAGGAGCUUGCUCCUCUGACGUUAGCGGCGGACGGGUGAGUAACACGUGGAUAACCUACCGAUAAGACUGGGAAACUUCGGGAAACCGGAGCUAAUACCGGAUAAUAUAUUGAACCGCAUGGUUCAAUAGUGAAAGACGGUUUUGCUGUCACUUAUAGAUGGAUCCGCGCCGCAUUAGCUAGUUGGUAAGGUAACGGCUUACCAAGGCAACGAUGCGUAGCCGACCUGAGAGGGUGAUCGGCCACACUGGAACUGAGACACGGUCCAGACUCCUACGGGAGGCAGCAGUAGGGAAUCUUCCGCAAUGGGCGAAAGCCUGACGGAGCAACGCCGCGUGAGUGAUGAAGGUCUUCGGAUCGUAAAACUCUGUUAUUAGGGAAGAACAAAUGUGUAAGUAACUAUGCACGUCUUGACGGUACCUAAUCAGAAAGCCACGGCUAACUACGUG